UGGGUCGGCCGGGCGGCCGCGGUCCACCACCCUCAUCGGGUGGCGGGUCGAGGAAGGUCCGGGCUCCACAGGGCAGGGUGGUGGCCAACAGCCACCCGGGGAAACCCGCGGGACAGUGCCACAGAGAACAGACCGCCGGUCCGGUGCUUCGGCGCAGGACAGGUAAGGGUGAAACGGUGGUGCAAGAGACCACCAGUGCGCCGGGCGACCGGCGCAGCUAGGCAAACCCCACCCGGAGCAAGAUCAGACAGGAUGCGUUCGAGGGCGGCCCGCCCGAGCAUCCGGGUAGAUCGCACCAGGCGGCCGGCAACGGUCGUCGCAGAUGGAUGGUCGCCCCUGCGUCAGCAGGACAGAACCCGGCCUACAGGCCGACCCACUCC
This 380-nucleotide RNase P RNA is filed under the name Nocardioides hwasunensis. RNAcentral's name for it is "RNase P RNA component class A". It matches the Rfam family "Bacterial RNase P class A". From Rfam's summary of the family: Ribonuclease P (RNase P) is a ubiquitous endoribonuclease, found in archaea, bacteria and eukarya as well as chloroplasts and mitochondria. Lineage: Bacteria; Bacillati; Actinomycetota; Actinomycetes; Propionibacteriales; Nocardioidaceae. The record is from RNAcentral.